Molecule: small RNA, 777 nt
Filed under: Arabidopsis thaliana (thale cress)
Lineage: Eukaryota; Viridiplantae; Streptophyta; Magnoliopsida; Brassicales; Brassicaceae
Description: ATSL271650
Source: RNAcentral
GGUCAAUAACCUAAUCGCCUGGCCCAUAGAAAGAUAAUGGGCCGAGAUGGGCUUCGUGAUCCGAUGGAGGUCCAGGCCGCUUCCAAACACUUUGUCUUCUCCUCUUCUCUUCCUUGUGCUCAGCUUGUCUGGUUGUGUGCGGAUUUGAGUAGAUUGUGAAGACGUGAUCGAGUGUCCGGUCGAGUGAUGGUGAUGGUGGUAAGUGAUGAUACUCGACCAGGGGGUCGAGUAUCUUGGUAGAGUGAAUGGUCGAGUGUGGUCAGGUGGUGUGGCGAAGUGAUACUCGACCAGGGGGUCGAGUAAUGUGGUAGAGUGAACGGUCGAGUAUUGUCAGGUGGUGUGGCGAAGUGAUACUCGACCAGGGGGUCGAGUGGUGUCAUCGAGUGGCCUGAGCUGAGGUUACUCGACCUGGUGGUCGAGUAGAUGGGAAGAAUGGCUCCAAAGUCACUCGACCAGAGGGUCGAGUAUGGUGCUGGAUGCACACGACCUGGUGGUCGAGUAUGUCUUCUGGUUCUGGCUCGUUUCUUCCAAUUUGUUCGCAAACAGCUCCAAAUCACCUGAAAACAACUCAGAAAUGCAAUAUGUAUGCAAAGCUAUCCUAAUCAUGCAAAGUAUGUAAGAAUGAUGAGAAAUGAUAUAAAACAGUGAUGAAUGAUACGAAACUGGACUCAAAACUAUGAUGAAUGGACACUGAAAACAUGCAAAUUAUAGACAUAUCACGGACUUCGGCGACACCAUCAAAGCUUUGAGAAGCCAGAAGAAAUUUGAUUAGUGUUU